GGAGAUAUACUAGCUAAGAACCUGUGCCUAUAACAUAGAACGCUAGACCCCAUAUGGGACAUCAGUAUAAAGUAAUGCACUGAAUAUGUAUGGCAUGAGAUAACCAUAAGUGAAAUAAAAGAUCAAUGAAAUUAGGGAUCAAUAUAUAAAUAUAUAGAUAAGGAUGAACGACCACCUUUACUUACACUUGUGGAAAAUUGUACAUUACAUGCUUUUCUUUACUUUAUUAGUUUUUGCUUUAUAAUCUUUGUAAGCCAUGUGAUAUAUAUGAUCAGAUGAUCAGAGGUAAAAUAGGAUGAGCCAUGCUAGGCAUUAUACCCCUGGGGUACGUUCCUCAUUAAUACACAAAUCGGGAUUGACCCAUGCUAGGCUUUCCUUUCACCCCUAGGAUACCACCUGAUAAUGGGAUCAACCAAUGCUAGGUGUUUAUUCCACCCCUGGGAUACCACCCAUAAAUGUAUGUAUUGUGAUUAGCACAUGCUAGGCUUUAGCCCCUGAGCUACCACCUACAUAUAAACAUAUUCACGUUACUUCAUUUCUUAUGUUUGAGAUUGUUAUUUUGGUGGCCAUAAUAUUAUUAAGCUUUGGAACUAUAGACCGGUACUAAGAAAUAUGUGAAUAUGCACUUGAGACAAUAACAAUGAAGUAGCAAGCAUUUUUAAUUGUAAUAGAAAUGUAAUACUUUGGAGCUUAAAUGACACAAUCAGUACUUUGACAUCUCAAAUGAAACAUAGGUGCAAUUCGAGUGAAGGUAUCUAAUUUAAUCUAAGAGAUAGGUUUUCUAGAUAGUGAUGUAAAUAAAUACUUAGUAAACAGUGUCAAAUGAAAGGUACAUGAACAUGAGAACUACUGGAGCGUGUGGAGAAAUUUGACUUAGGUAUAAAUAUAUAUUACAUGUAAGGAGAUGCAAACUAUAGAAUGGAAUGAAUAGGGAUUCUAUGAGGUAACAUUAUAGACUACGGCAAUGGGAAUGAUGCCCAAUGAAGGGGAUAUGUAAAUGUGUGAGAAAAUAAAGUAUAUUAUUAAAUAGACAAUUGAAGCAAGUUGGUAGUAAAUGGGCAGAUUGCAUACCUAACACAUGAGCACACUUACCAUGUGUAAUCUAGGGUCUUAUUUAUAUGUAAAAGAGGAACACAAGUUUGACUGGAAAGUGUAAAUACACAAAUCUAGUAAUAAACACAUAUUUGAAAUGCUUUUGACACGUUUGUGAGAUCAUAGGGAGUAGGAACAAGGUCAUUACUAAUGCUAAAAAUCAUACAUCAUUUCCAUAUAUCCUUUACUAGUGAGAACUCUUAGGAAGCUCACUUUGUUGGUACUAACACUACUAUUAGAUUUCAUGCCAAAGAAGAUGAAAAAGAAUAGCCUUACAUACCUUAUCUUUCGACCAAUGUGACUACGACAAUUCAAUUUUUUCUUUUAAGUGUUACUCUACAAUACAAGGACAUAAUGAAGCUAAUAUUAGAACCUACUCACAUUAUCAUCCUACAAAAAUAGUAGCUAAAUACUUGACGGGCAGUAAGACCAUCCAAACCCCUAAACACAUGGUGUAUCACCAUACCCUUCUUUUGUAAUUCAAUGGAAGCUCCAUUCAACCAUUGUAUAAGGUGACUCACUUCCUCAAAAAAGAAAUACAGAUAAAACAACCUAUAUAUAGUCAUAAAAUCCAUAAACCACCAGAACAACCCCUCAUGUUUGCACCUUUAUUUCUACCCCGUACUAACAUUAACCAAUCUUUUUUAAUGCCAAACAUGAUUUCCUAACUUUUCAAUACAAUAAUACAGGUCUAACAUCACAAUAUAGUUAGAAAAGUUGAGCUCACUAUUUCAAUUACCAUCCCAUGAGUUUCAAUAUACAAGUAUGUCUAGAAUGAGCAAAUGAGCUAAUAAUUAAAAGUUGGGGAAACACCUUACCUUAGAUAUCUUAAUAUGUUAUUUUCCCCCAAUUACUAUCUUUGUGACCUAAUCUAAGUCACAACAUAGGAAAGGAACAUUAGACCAACAACCCAAGCUUAUGACAUAAAAUUCUUACCUUAAUCUUUAAAAGAUAGUGGCAGCACCCUUGCUGCCAAUGCCAAUAUAUUCACUCCCCUUGAAUAACUUUCUAAUAUAUUCGAAACUAAGGAGAAGAAAAGGUGAUCUUAUGGGCUGCUUUACAGAAAAUAUUUUGAAGAACACUUAGAACCCUAAUGAAAAAUACGAAGGUUGUUUUAAGGAUAGAAGAUAGAGAUUUAAAGACUUGAGAGGAAUUGAAUUUGAUGAGAAAAAUAAGACUUUAUUGAUAAUUUUUUGAUCUUUAAAGGCCUCACUUUUCUGGCUCAUUCUCCUCUUUAUUUCCAGCCACCAUUUAGCUCUAAUUUGGACCAUAAUUGCUAAAUAGGUGAUGCACCUACUUUGGCCAUUCAAUAUGGUCAAAAGUCCAAGUGGCUGAUGCACCUACUGGGACAUUUUUAAGUAACUCUUUGUGGUCUUGGAGAGAUUGGGCCUUGGGAUACCAUUCUCUUUAUUUUCUUUUAGUUAAUUUGGGCCUCAAAUAAGUCCAUUAAUAUAGGCUUCAAUUUGGUCAAUUAGUCUAAGUAUGUGAUACAUCUACUUGUCACCUACUAUCUUAAUUAAGUCUAGCAAGAACCUCAUUUAUUUAAUCCUAUAUUUUCUAUAUCUUAAUCCCUCUACUCUAACUUAACACCUAACUCCUAUUUUAAGCUUAUAUACCUCCUUACAAUCUCAAGUUUAAAUAUUUUGUCAGUGAUAAGUUGGUUGUGUAUGUUUGGAAAUAUACAAGGUAUUACAGACAAGUACCAAUGGCAAACCACUACAGCAGUUGACUCUACUACUUUAAGCAAUGGAAAAAGAGAUAGUUGAAGUUUAUGCUUUUGUGCUUUAUACCAUUUUCUUAUCAUAUUUAUGAUUCAUGUUCAACUUGUAUCAAUAGCCACCGCAAAAGAGGAGAUGAGGCAUGAUAUUAAGAAAAUUUGCCCUGGAAUAUCUCUCUGUCAUUGGGACUCAUACAGAAUGUAAUGUUGUUUUUUCACAAUAGAACAAAAAAUGGUUGGUAUUGCUAUACACGCUUCUCUUCUGAUACUGCAUCCCUCUUCUCUUAGAUUAAUACAAGUAAGGAUUAUACUUUUUUCCUCCUACUUCUGCUUCCCUUAGUUAGAUGAUAAAUAAUUAUUUUACUUUCUAUUUCAAGACCUUGAUACCGGUAACAUUGGACCCCAUGUAUGUUGUGGAGAGAGAUACCUAAUUAAAUAAUUGUCCUCUUCAUAAAAUAAACAAACCUGACAUUUUUAGCUUCGUCUUUCACCCUUUUAAGGCCUGACAUAAGAAUGUGUAAAAUUUAAAAUGUUAUAUAUUUGCUUAAUUCUAUUAGGCGGUUUCUCUAUUCGUGCGAUAGUAACAAUAAGUAUACCCUUCUUAUAUAACUAUGUUAAUAAUUAAAUCUAUAGAUUCAAAUAUGCACAUCCAUAUGUUAUAUCUUUUUGGUCUGAAUCUUUUGAUAUCCAUUGUUGGAUUUAUUUGGACGAGGGCCAUGCGCUUCUUGAUGUUUGUAUGUAAGUUUGUGCUUUUGGAGUCUAUUUAUCUGAUGAAUUUCUUUGUUAUAUUCUAUUCAUAAUCACAUGAAAAGAUAUCCUAUCUAUGUUAAUUCUUUUGCACUAGGAUGCAAAUUGUCUGCCACUUUGGCUUUUGUUUUCAUAUGCUACUAACUAUACAAGUUUCUUUAUCUAUUUUUAAGUUAAAAAUUAUAGUUGGUUUGGAUUAAUAAGGUGGUCAACAGUGGAGCGAAAGUAACAGAGAUGGUUAGUUCAGAGGCCCUAUAAGGAUAAAAAAAUAAGAUAAAACUAGCUACUUUAAUCCUCAGUGUCCCUCCUGAACAAGGUUGUUCCUUCACCUUUCUUCACUUUUGCCUUUAUUGGAUGAAGAAAAUAUUUUUGUAUCUCUGUACUAUCAUGCUAGAGUUUGUGCUUUUGCUAGUGUGUAUUGUCAUCAUGUGUCUUGUUUGUGAUCUUGCAAUUCGAGUACUAAUUUGGUUGGAAUAAAAAGAACUCUAGAUUCAAGAGUUGUCAACUUUUUGAACUAGAAUUUGUAGAUUUUCCUUACCACCUUCGCUCAAUAAAAGACAGACGCAUGAUUUUUGACACGAUGCAAGACUGUGAGCAUGAAUGGUAAAGAUGCAAGUAUUUGAUUAUAUUAGGGAAUCUUUUGGAUAACUUAAAGAUCACAAACAAGGAACCUUUGAAAGGUUUUUAUCAACUUAUGUGUUGUUUACUAAGCUUGUAUAUAUAAGUUGUUACUAUUGAAAACUUACCAUGGUGUUAUGUAUGGGUAGGCUUUAUGGGAUGUUUCAAGAAAAAUACCAACAUACAUGUAAAAUUCUAUUAAAAUACUAAUUAGUGUCCUUUUUGAUUUAUGAAUCUUGAUUAGAAAAAAGCCUUCUGAUUUUGGGUUCUUCUUCAUAAAGGUUAUAUGGUAUCACAAAUUAUUAGAUUCAUCAUUGGUAGAGUUGAGAAGGCAGAAGGUAUUAUUUUUUUUCAUUAUCAAUUGUUUGAGGUUAUAGUUUGAUUUUGAUGAACAUGCUUAGUUGAUAACUAUAGAAUAUAUUUGAAAAUUUCCUAGCUUUAAAUUUACUUUUGUCUUUUGUUAAAGAGCCAUGUUUACCUACUCAAGCUUAGGUGAUUUAAGUCUUUUUUUAAUUCUUCUUAGAGUACAUGAAAUUUUGAGAUGUGAUGCAUUCUACAAUGACUUGGUGUUGAAAGAUGAUAUAGAGUAGUACAUAUUUAGCUUUAAUUCUCUUUUGUAUCAUUAGCGUGACAUUUAUUUGUUACAACAACAAGAUUUAUUCAACUCUCAUGAGGGGCCAUGUAAAUCAUGAUAUCCGCACCUAUUAGCAUAUCUUUUGUAGCUUGUCUAUCGUAAAUCUUGUGCCUAAAUCAGUGCAACUAAAUGAUAAAUUUAGGGGCAUGAGGCAUCAAUUUGUGAUUGAUUAAUCUUUGCUAUUAAAAAACAUAUUAUUUUAGCACCAGGUAUAUACCUUGAAGGUAUAUAGAGGAAAGAGAAAAAUGAUACAAGCUGCUGAAGAGAAUGAAAGACCAGAGGAGUUCGAUAUAUUUUGGGGCUAGAAGCGGGCCUAAUGUUGGAAUUAGGAAAAAAUAUUAGGUAUAAAAGAGUAAAUUUUGAUAUUACAGUUUUGUUGAUAUUCACCAGAUGAAUCAUUGUGUUGUCUUUGUGUGUUUCUUGAAGAAUUUGUUUUCACUGGAUUAGACGUUAAUUUCCUCAUUCCACUCUAUUGUUUAGUUUGUUAUACUUUGAUAAAAGUAGUGAAAGCUGAAAAAUGAGGCAAUAUCCCAAAUUGGUAUAUCUAACAUGCAAACAUGAAAGAUGUUCAAAAUUUGCAACAUCGAGCACACAUGAGACAGACUAUAUGUGCAGCUAUAUAUUAAUUAUCCAUCACCACCAAAGAAUUCAUUUUGAAAAAACUCUAAUCUAAAACUUCCUCACUAAAUCACACUUCUCUUGCUCUAAAAGUGUACUUUAAAUAAAGGUACUCUCUAAAAGUAUACUUUAAUUCAGGGUAAAAGAAGUGAUAAAUAAAAAUAAGAGAAAGUAAUAAAUGAAUGUAAUGAUCCCUCAAUUGCUGAAGAAGCUUACUAGAGAAAGAGAGAUGAUGAAGACAUUAACAAUAUUAUCCAAGCUAACAUGCAAUGCAAAAAUGAACAUUCAAAUCCAAGCUUUAUUGAAGAAAGUGAUAAUAUAUAAAAACUUAAAUUUUGAGGAUGCAUACACAUAAACAUUUAUUUAACAAAUAUUAAUCAAAAUAUACUUCAAAGCUUCCCUAAUUUUGAGAUUGAAAUCUCUAACUAGAAUAAGGAAGUGUUUGGUAACAUCUUUAUAAAGAAGAAACACAUCCGUGCCAGACUUGAGGGGAUCAAAAAGUCCUCACACUAUCCCCACAGUCUCUUUCUUUAGACCCUUGAGUCUCAACUCUUAAAAGAGUUCAGUGAGAUCGUCUAACAAGAACAAGAAUUCUAAAGAAUCAAAUCUAGGAUAAACUGGUUGGCUGAGGGAGACUCCAAUACCAGGUUCUUUCAUACCUCUACCCUCAAUAAGAGGAGGAAGAACAACAUAUCUGCUCUUAAAGAUGAUAAUGGGAAUUGGAGCUAUUCCCAAGAGGAAAUCAGUUCUGAGAUCCUUUGAUUCUACUCUAAUCUCUUCUUCUUUGAUCACUACAGCAACCCCAUUAGAUGCCAACACAACCCCUCCUCCAAGGGAUCUAUCAGAACUGAGGACCACCAUCUUCUUGAUUUUAUUUCUUCACCCAUUGAGAUUAGGAAGGCUGUCUUCUCCUUCAAACCCACCAAGGCCCCAAGUCCAUAUGGCCUACACCCACUCUUCUACCAAAAAUUCUGGGACAUCCUGGGUCCCCCCACCAUCCAAUUAUGUAUUAAAACUUUCUAUUACAUGAAAAUAGAGAGCAAAGUCAACUCCACCUAUCUCUGCCUCAUUCCUAAAUGCUCCAAUGCCACUAGCUUGAGAAACUUUAGACCCAUUGGCAUUUUCAACACUUAGUACAAGAUAGUUACUAAAAUUAUAGCUACUAGACUCAAACCUUUCCUGGCCAACAUCAUUGCUCCUACUCAGUCUAGCUUCCUACCAAAUAGAAGGACCUCUAACAAUGCCAUCAUCAUCCAGAAGGAUAUCUCUCACUUCAAGAAAAUGAAAGGUAAAAGGGCCAACUUGAUCCUCAAGAUUGACCUUGAGAAGCUUUUGAUAGAAUUAAAUAGUCCUUUGUGAGACAAGCCCUCGACUUUUUCAAUAUUUCCCCCCCCCCCCCCCCAAAUACCCCCCCCCCCCCCCCAGGCUUACUAAUCUCAUCAUGUCUUGCAUUUCCUUCUUCUCUAUCUCCAUUCUAAUAAAUGUGAACAAAACUGAGCCUUUCAAUCCAACCAGGGGGAUAAGGCAGGGGGAUCCUCUUUCUCCUUACAUCUUCAUCAUGUGCAUGGAGUUACUGUCCAGGAGAAUUGAUCAUGAGGUGGAUAUCCUCAAUUGGAAACCCAUAGCUAUUAGCAAAAGAGGCCUAAAAAUCUCUCACCUCUUUUUUGCUGAUAAUCUUACCCUAUUUGCUAAAGCUAAUAAGGUAAAUUGCUGGACCAUCAAGAACACCUUCCAAAGCUUCAGCCAACAUUCUGGACAAAAGAUCAACCACCUCAAAUCCAAAUUCCUUUUCUCCCAAAAUAGCAACCAGAGAGAUAGAACCACCUUCUCUUCUAUCCUUAAUAUUGAGGCUAAAGAUAACUUUGGGAUACCCGAGCUUCCUCAUCUUCACUCAAAAGCCAUGUACCAAUGAUUUCCAAUUCAUUGUAGACAAUCUAAAUUCUAAGUUGGCUAGUUAGAAGACGAAUUUCCUCAACCUAGCAAGCAGAACCAUCCUCACAAAAUCCUCUCUGAGUAGCAUUCCUACCCAUGUCAUGUAAUACAUCUCCUUCCCUUCUAACAUCCACAAAUCCAUUGACCAAAUUCAAAGAAACUUUGUCUGGGGAUCAACUGUAGAGAAGAAGAAAACCCACCUUCUGAACUAGGACACCAUUACCACCCCUAAGGAUAAAGGGGGCCUAGGUCUCCAAAAGUCCAACAUCAGGAAUGAUACAGUAUUGGCCAGUCUAGCAUGGAGGCUCAAUAAAAACCCUCAGACCCUUUGGGCAAACAUUCUCUUUAGAAAAUACUACCAGGAUAGUAGAUGUCUAUCCAGCAAAAGUACCUACAGCAUGCUAGCAGGUACUUUUGAGAGUGACAACAGAACCAACUCCAUCAGUCUCAAGUGGAUCUGGAAAACAAGAAUCCCCCCUAAAAUUAAAACCUUCCUCUGGCUUAUAUACCAUAACAGACUUCCAAUAAGCCACACCCUUGCCAAGAUGAAAAUAAAAAAAUCCUCUAAUUGCAAAAGCUGCAAUUACCACACUGAAGAUAUUGACUAUAUCUUUCAUGAAUGCCCAAAGGUCCACUAUUACUGUAAAGCUGUCAUUGAUAAAAGUAUAUCUAAAAACCAGCUUAACCAAUAUCUUUUUCAUCCCUCUAACUGGGGUAAAACUUGGAAAUCUCUCCACCAUACUCCUUAUGACAAGAUCUUGGAUUGGUAGGACCUUCUACCCUUUUGACUUUGGUCGAUUUGGAGGAAUAGAAACCAAGAUACUUUCAACAACUCCAACAUCACCCGUAAUAUCUCUAACACUUACUUUGAAGCUGUGGAGUACAAAAUGACCAUAAUAAAUAAUAAUACCCUUGCUUAAUUCAAAUUCAUCAAUGUUAGGUGGGAACCCCCAACAAAAGGGAUGUUUAAACUUAACACGGAUGGUAGCUGCAUAGAGAACCUUAGAAAAGGAGGAAUAGGGGGGGGGGGCAGGUUAUCAGAUCUAGCUCUGGGGAAUGGAUUGUAGGUUUCUACAAAUCCUUCCAUAAGACUACUAACAACUACAUGGAGCUCAAAGCCCUUGUGGAGGGGCUAAAACUAGUAGAGCAAAGGAACCUGCUACCCAUUGUGAUUAAUACUGACUCUGCUGAGAUUAUCAAUAUGCUUAACACUGGAAACUUACACUAUGAUGCUUUGCUGGAUGAUUGUAGGUCAAGACUAAGAAAGUUAGGGGGACAUGUGAUAUCCCACUGUUUCAGGGAACAAAAUGGUGUGACGAAUCUUAUGGCCAAGCAGAGAAAAGCAUCAACUGACUUUGUAGAUAUCCAGAUUUUUGAAGUUCCACCUUUGUGUGCUGCACAGGAACUUUUUUUGAAAGGAGGGUUAAUGAUCGUAACAUAAACAAUGAAUCCUUCCCUUUUAGUUUCUCUAUUCUGGAUCCUGGCUAAUAUAGCAGGAUGGUUAUGGUGGUGCAUGGAAAACUCUUCCUUUUUUAAUUAAUGCAUAUCUUUUUAAUAAAAAACAUAUUUUGUAGGAGAUCAAUAUAUUGGUGAGUGAAAUUGUGAACGGAGCACGAAAUGGUUGUGCUAAUACACCGCCCGUUAAUCAUCGGAUAAUUACUAAUCCGAACCGAACCAACGGAUAUCUUAUAGGUUGCUAAUGGAUUAGUAUAUUUAAAAGUCGAUAUCUGAUAAGUCGAAUCGUUAAGUAUAUUUAUCCGUUUGAUCAGCCCGAUAAGCAGCCCUACCCCUUACCCCUCUUCACACACAUGCUUUCAUCCCCAUCCUAAUACCCCGCCUCUAAUCAAAUUUAUACAAAAAAAAUAUUAAUAGUAAAAAAAAAUUAUUUCAUAUUUUUUUGUUAUAUUAUUAAUAAUUUAAAUUUAUAACACCUCUCAAUUUCCGUACUUGAUGUACAUUUUUAAAUUAUUUUUUUUAUUACACUCAUAAGCAAUUGAGUUUUCUUAUCUCUUAUCUUAAAAUAUACAAAUUAAAAUAGAUAAUUUUGAUAUGCAUAACAAAAAAUUAAAUAAAGAUUAGAAGAGGACUCCAUAAUAAUCUAAUUUGUUAGAUUUUAUCUCCAUUUAAAACUAGUUACACUUUUUAUCUCAUAUUUAAUUUUAGUUUUUCUAUUUACUCAAAUUCAAAAAAAAUUAUAAAAUUUUUCUAAAAACUAAAAAGAAUUCCAUAAUGUAUGUAACAUUUCUUGAAUAUUAAUUUUAGAGGAAAAAGUAAAAUCAUAAAUUCAUCAAAAUAUAAGAUUUUACUUGUUAUAGUUAAGAAAACACUUUUGAAAAUUUAAUUUAUUUUACAUCAUGUUAAUUAUACCCUAAGAUAUUAUAUUAAAAAUUUACCUUUUAAGCCUAUGAUUUACUGUUGUGUGUGUUCUUUUCUUCUCUAUAUUAUGAAAUUAAAUGACACCCAAAAUCACUAAAAAAAAAAUUUAUAAAUAAAUUAAAUUUGCAAGUAAAAUUUAAAAAGGAAUAAUAAAUUAGACUAUCUAAAUGUCUAUAAAUCUGCUUUGUAAGACUCCUAAUAUAUGUGAAUGUGGUACUUAUUAGAUACAGAAAACAGACAAUCAUAAAUUCCAUACAAUUGAACUAAAUAUUAAAAAAAUAGCUAUUCAUUAAAACAACAUUGAAAAGAAAACAAUAAUAUCAAGCACAUACUUAAAAAAAACUUAAGCUUCCCAAUUAUACCAACAAAACUUCUACUUUUACAAUAAUCUAUUAUUUUCUUCUCUUCAUUCUUCUUCAUCCCUUUUGCAAGUCAACAAUAGCAAUAAAAUUAUUUCUAAAAAUUAGAAUAAACUCUCAAAAACACUUCUUCAUAAAUUAAACAAUAGAAAUGGUAUUAAUUUAAAAUCGAUUUAUCUAUAAGUCUUUUACUUAUUAAAGUCUUUGUUUCUAUUAUUAGUAAAAAAAAUUCUCCUUAUCUUCUUCAAAGUUGUUAUCAUUUAAAAUGUGAGGCGAAUUACCACAAAAAUUAGAUAGAUAUGUCAAGCCAUUCAAAGGAUACUUUUUCAUAAGAUAAAAAUCAGGCUUUAAUUAAGAAGGUAAUGAAUCAGUUAACAUAAUGCAUAUACUUUUAAGAAGAGCUUAAACCAGUGUAAAUCAUUAGGAAGACAAUAUAAUCGAUUUUACCGAUUUACAACUUGAUGAUCAAAUGUUGAUUCAAACAAGAUAAACAUCAAAGAGAUUUUAAACUGAAAUUAUUUAAGUGAAAAAUAUUUCUCAACCAAACUAGCCAAAGAAAAAGCAGUGAAAGACAUCUUGAGUGAAAUCACACAUUUUAACAAAAAGACACAUUUUAAGCAUGUGUUGAGACGUCUGAAUACACAAUAAUUCAACACCAACCUUUCUUACACAAUGAAGAAAUGUCUAAAUACGCAACAAUUCAACACCAAUAUUUUUUAAAUAAUGAAGAAAUUUAGAUGCAACUCUAUAUUAUCUAUCGGGAACAAUAGAAAUAGGAAGGCAUCCACACAGUGCGGGAGAUUUCUGCUUAAGAAAGCACAAGAUUCGACAUUACAAAUUUAACAAUCAUCCUAAAGCUAGCACUUAAGCGAACACUAUAAGAAAUAUGAAAUAGUGGAAUAUUACCUUUUUCUGGGCAGCGAAAUAGGACAACAAGUUCACGACGACUUCACCAACUUGCUUUUGAUUUGAAAAAAGACAAGGAAAAAUAAAACUUGAACCAAAAUUUUCAUAACUCCAGGUUGGGGACAGAAGUCCAAAUCCUAACCAAGUAGAGAAGUUUAGCCCUUUUUCGUUCGAAAAAAAAUCUUUAAACAAUAGAGAGAAGGAUUAAUAUGGAAAUUCAAAAAUCUCAAUUCUUGAGAAAUCGGUGAUGUGGGAUAGAGAAUGUCAAGGGUAUUUUUGAGAAUGUUGAUUGAGUACUUCAAAUUGAGGAUAAGAUUUGUUAAGCAAGUUGGAAUUGUACUGUUUUUGUAUGAAUUUGAAAUUCGAACGUUGGCUGAGCUGGACGGAUUGGGUCGGGUUUUGCUGUUGGAUUGUUGUUGUUUGAAUGUUGGUUUCUGGUGCGGGUUGGUUUUGCCAAAGCUCUUACGGUUGUACGUUUUGGUGUUGUACGACAUUUUUUGUUGUUA
RNAcentral lists this long non-coding RNA (11505 nucleotides) under Capsicum annuum. RNAcentral's name for it is "long non-coding RNA (CANN_LNC014434)". Lineage: Eukaryota; Viridiplantae; Streptophyta; Magnoliopsida; Solanales; Solanaceae. The record is from RNAcentral.